Molecule: small RNA, 388 nt
Filed under: Drosophila yakuba
Lineage: Eukaryota; Metazoa; Arthropoda; Insecta; Diptera; Drosophilidae
Description: GE28577
Source: RNAcentral
CCAUAUAAUUUAAAAUCAAACGGAUGUCACCCAUGGAAUUAUUUCUGGUCUAGUUAUAGUAUUACUCAGUUCAUUUUGCAAUGGCUAACACUUGCACUACUUUUCUCUCAGUGCCCUGAUCAUAGUUCGUGUCGGCUUGAGUGUUUAACUACUUUGAAGAGCAUUGCAAGAUUUACAGUUUGAUCAGUCGGCCCGCUCUCUUGGUGUUUCCUUAAUUGUACUCACCAACAGGUGACACCCGGCUGUAUUUGGUUGCACUUAUUUUGUAUUUAUCACUGGAACAGAAGCUCAAAGCCACUGCAAAAAAUUAGCUGUUGCAUUGAAAUGUACACAUAAAAAAAAUAAAAGGUAACAACAAUGGUCAAUGCGGCAAACAAAACCGAAAUUA